UCCCACAACCUCCCAGCCAGCAAGCUUGCUUGCUAGGUAUCCUAGAAACCAUAGUCAACAAAGUCAGUUAAAAAAAACAAAACUCUGCCAGCACAAGAGUUGACAAGGGGGUGAAUCUGCUCUUUCUUAGCUCAGGGCAACAUAAGCAGCUUUGGAAAGAGGCAGCCUUGCCCUCUACAUGCUGGGAAAUUACAUGGAUAAAUGGACCAACAGAAGGUGGGGCCCAUUCCCUCUACAUAAAUAUACACAGACAAAACCCUCACACCACCAUUCAUCCUGCUUCAUCUUCUGAGGAUUUCUGAGUGGAAGAUCUCUGUAAGGAUGUCAUCUAAUAUUAGAAGACAAAAGAAAAAUUGCUGAAAGCCAAAAUCCACUUUAGGACGGGGGAAGAGGCAUAAUAUGGCAGCAUUAAAACAUUUUCUCGCCCUUGCAGAAAAAAAAGGUGGUAAGUAACAAUUGUUUCCUUUUUCCUCACAAGGGAGACAUAGAAUUUGAGGGCUGAACUAAGGGGAAUGCCAUUCAUAUAAUUUGC
RNAcentral lists this long non-coding RNA (532 nucleotides) under Pogona vitticeps (central bearded dragon). Its description in RNAcentral is "lncRNA (ENSPVIG00000000478.1)". The record is from RNAcentral. Lineage: Eukaryota; Metazoa; Chordata; Lepidosauria; Squamata; Agamidae.